GUUGUCGUCAGCUCGUGUCGUGAGAUGUUGGGUUAAGUCCCGCAACGAGCGCAACCCUUGAACUUAGUUGCCAUCAUUCAGUUGGGCACUCUAAGUUGACUGCCGGUGACAAACCGGAGGAAGGUGGGGAUGACGUCAAAUCAUCAUGCCCCUUAUGAUUUGGGCUACACACGUGCUACAAUGGACAAUACAAAGGGCAGCGAAACCGCGAGGUCAAGCAAAUCCCAUAAAGUUGUUCUCAGUUCGGAUUGUAGUCUGCAACUCGACUACAUGAAGCUGGAAUCGCUAGUAAUCGUAGAUCAGCAUGCUACGGUGAAUACGUUCCCGGGUCUUGUACACACCGCCCGUCACACCACGAGAGUUUGUAACACCCGAAGCCGGUGGAGUAACCA
RNAcentral lists this ribosomal RNA (392 nucleotides) under Staphylococcus pseudintermedius. Its description in RNAcentral is "bacterial SSU rRNA". It matches the Rfam family "Bacterial small subunit ribosomal RNA", at positions 1048 to 1441 of the family's 1533-position model. The record is from RNAcentral. Lineage: Bacteria; Bacillati; Bacillota; Bacilli; Caryophanales; Staphylococcaceae.